RNAcentral lists this ribosomal RNA (490 nucleotides) under uncultured bacterium. RNAcentral describes it as "partial 16S ribosomal RNA". It matches the Rfam family "Bacterial small subunit ribosomal RNA", at positions 30 to 507 of the family's 1533-position model. The record is from RNAcentral.
AUUGAACGCUGGCGGCAGGCCUAACACAUGCAAGUCGAACGGUAACAGGAAACAGCUUGCUGUUUCGCUGACGAGUGGCGGGCGGGUGAGUAAUGUCUGGGAAACUUCCUGAUGGAGGGGGGUAACUACUGGAAACGGUAGCUAAUAACGCAUAACGUCGCAAGAACAAAGAGGGGGACCCUCGGGCCCCUUGCCCUCGGAUGUGCCCAGAUGGGAUUAGCUUGUUGGUGGGGUAACGGCUCACCAAGGCGACGAUCCCUAGCUGGUCUGAGAGGAUGACCAGCCACACUGGAACUGAGACACGGUCCAGACUCCUACGGGAGGCAGCAGUGGGGAAUAUUGCACAAUGGGCGCAAGCCUGAUGCAGCCAUGCCGCGUGUAUGAAGAAGGCCUUCGGGUUGUAAAGUACUUUCAGCGGGGAGGAAGGGAGUAAAGUUAAUACCUUUGCUCAUUGACGUUACCCGCAGAAGAAGCACCGGCUAACUCCGUG